CUAUUUAACUUGAGUUCAAAUUGAAAAUAUAAAAUAAGCUAGGGACUACUAAUUAAAUUUCUCUUCUAAAUUGACUCAGCCACUUGUAUUGGACCCAAUUAUGUAAUCACUCAUCCAAGCUGGUGACUUGGUGCGUCUGCUCGGUCUGGGGCCGUUGUUUGAACCGGCUGGUUCUUCCCCUAACGUUCUUGGGUCGUCUUCCCCCUUUCCGGCUGGAAUUAGGUCGUCGUCUUCCUCUGCUUCCGUCUGUCUGUAUAAGUCGACGAUGGCCUGGACAUCUUCUUUAACGGCGAGAUACCCCAGCGGCUUCGUAUCAUCUCUUCCCCCUUCAGAAUCGACCUUGUCCUCAAGGUUGAUAGCUGGAAAAAACUUCUGGAUGUCUUCGACGGCUUCCCAAGAAGCAUCUUCAGGUACAGCACCACUCCACUGGAUUAGCACUUGCUGUUUCUUUUUCUUGCCUCCUUGUAGAAUUGACCUGUGAUUUAGUAUUGCCAUAGGAUAGAUUAUAGGUUUAUUAUCAAUAGAAAUUAGGGGUUCUAUUGAAUCAGGGUUUUCAGGUGGAGAGCCACUGAAUUUUUUUAGUUUUGAGACAUGAAAUGCCGGGUGAAUUCUGCUCUCUGUGGGGAACUCCAGAUGGUAGGCCACUUCAUUGAUUUUUUUUGAAAUCUUGUAAGGUCCAAAAUACUUCUUCCCUAAUUUGUUAUGUAAUCUGUGAGCGACAGUUGCUUGUCUGUAUGGUGUUAACUUUACUAACACCCAAUCUCCCACCUCAAACGAGAUGUCUGCCCUUCCUUUGUCUGCUCGAAUCUUCAUUCUAUUUUGUGCCAAUUCUAGAUUAUUUUUGAUUUUCUGUAAGGUCUCCUCUCUUAGUUUUAGAUUUAUGCUAACAGCCUCCAGUGUUGAGUCUCCUUCUGUGAAAUGUGGAAUAUCAGAUGAUUCCUUCCCAUAGAGAGCCAUAAAUGGUGUCAUGCCUAGAGAGGAAUGAAAACUAGAAUUGUACCAUAAUUCAGACCAAGGUAACUGUUUCAACCAAUUUCUAGGACAGUCAUGACAAUAUGAUCUUAGAUACAUUUCUAAGGUCCUAUUUACCACCUCUGUUUGCCCAUCUGAUUGUGGGUGAUAAGCAGAUGAAAAAUUCAGUUUUGUGCCAUUGAGCUUGUGUAAUUCUUUCCAAAACUUGGAUGUGAAAACCCUAUCCCUGUCAGAAACUAUAGAUGUAGGAAUGCCAUGUAGUUUGAUAAUAUCUCUUACAAAAACUUCAGCCACUUUAGAGGCAGUAAAAUUAGGAGGUAGAGCACUGAAAUGUGCAUACUUAGAUAAUCUGUCAACUACAACCAUUAUCACUGUUUUACCUUCAACUUUUGGUAAAUCAGUUAUAAAGUCCAUUGUGAUAUCCUGCCACACCUUAGAAGGUAUAGGGAGAGGCAUUAGAAGCCCUGCUGAUUUUGAAUUUUGUGGCUUCAUUUGUUGACAUGUAAUGCAAUUUUUUACAUACUUCUUGAUGGUAGAUCUCAUAUUCAGCCAAUAGAAUUGUUUAAUAAUUCUCUUCAUUGUUUUGUUUAUACCACCAUGACCUCCCAUCAGUGAAUCAUGACCAUCAAAUAAAAUUUGAGGGAUAAGAUCUGAAUUUUUAUUUACAAAAUACCUGUCCUUGUACAGCAAUGCACCAUUUCUGACUCUAUAUCCUUCCAAGCUUUUAAUUGCAGAAGAGUGCUCUUGAAUCAAUUUCUGUGAAUGGGGGUUGUUAUGAUUUUCCCUUUUUAGAUCCUCCAAUAGUUUUGAAAUGGGUCCAGUAAUUGCUAAUAAGGAUCCCGGAUAGCCCAAUGAGUUACUAGUGAAUAAUACUUCCUCUUCUUUAUUCUCUUCAAAAGAUCUUGAAAGAGCAUCUGCCACUAAAUUUUCUUUCCCGGGUUUGUAGAUGAUGCUGAAAUCAAAACCUAGUAAUUUACAAAGAAAAACCUGUUGUUCUGAGGUUUGAAUAGACUGUGUAAGUAGAUUCUUAAGGCUUUUGUGAUCAGUCUUAAUUAAGAAAUGAGAACCCAAUAAGUAAUGUCUCCACUUUCCCACUGCGGAGGUAAUAGCAAACAUCUCUUUCACGUAAAUUGAGGCUGAACUGAUUCUACCUGAUAUUUUCUUGCUGAAAAAAGAAAUAGGAUGAUUCUCUUGUGAUAAUACGGCCCCUAUGCCACUUUUACAAGCAUCAGUUUCAAUACUGAAUUGUUUAGUAAAAUCAGGGAAUCCUAGAACAGGUGCUGUCACCAUAGCUUGUUGCAACUUCAUAAAACUCUCUGAAGCUUUUUCUCCCCAUUUAAAACAAUUUUUCUUUAACAAGUCAGUCAUUGGGGCUGCGAUCUGAGCAUAGCCUCUUAUGAACCUUCUGUAAUAACCUGUAAGUCCUAAAAAACCUCUCAAUCCUUUAAUUGUUUUAGGUACCUUCCAAUCCACCAUAGCCUUGAUUUUGUCGGGGUCUGGAUGCACACCAUCCACAGCUACAAUAUGCCCUAAAAAGGUCAUAGAUUCCCUUCCAAAAGAGCAUUUAGAUAGCUUGGCCAGCAAUCUGUUUUUUCUUAAAAUUUCAAAUACACAAUGAAGGUGGUUAGUAUGCUCUUCAACUGAUGCACUAUAAACAAGUAUGUCAUCAAAGAAUACUAUCACGAACUUCCUUAGAUAUUUUUCAAACACAGAGUUCAUUACAGCUUGGAAUGUAGCAGGUGCAUUGGUGAGGCCAAAUGGCAUCACUAGAAAUUCAAAGUGGCCCUGAUGAGUUCUAAAAGCAGUUUUUUCUGUGUGAGAAGGGUGAACUCUGAUCUGGUGAAAUCCGGAUCUCAAAUCCAAUUUGGAGUAAACUGCAGAUCCUUUUAACUCGCCCAACAAUUCAUCCACAGUUGGGAUGGGAUACUUAUCCUUGACUGUUAGAGCAUUCAGCGCCCUAUAGUCUACACAUAGCCUAUAGCCUCCAUCUUUCUUCUUGACUAAUAGAACUGGUGAAAAAUAUGGACUGUUGCUGGACUUUAUAAUGUUUUGCUUCAUCAUUUCAAUAACUAAUUUCUCAAUUUCAGUCUUUUGAAACUGGGGAUAUCGGUAUGGUCUGACAUUUACCGGCUUAGAAUUGGGCUCAAGAUGGAUAAAAUGAUCGAACUUUCUCUGAGGUGGCAAUUGAGUGGGGGGUUCAAAGAUAUCACUAUACUCUUGUAUCUUUUCUGUUAGCUCUGGGUACGGUAUAUCCAGUACAGUUACUUCCUUUUCCUCCUUUUUCUCCAUGUAGCACAAAUAUACUUCCUGAGUUGAUGCUAUUAGGCAUUUGAGUUGCCCCACAGUUAAAGGAUCAUCUGAGAUCCAAGCCAGACCUUGCCAACUCACUUUGUUUCCCUUCCACAUAAAUUAAUAUUCCAUUAAAAGCUUUUCAAAAUCGAAUGUAACCGGGCCCAAUGUUUUCAUACCUUGAAUACCUAUGACCAUAUUAGCUCCUGACAUGUCAAGUAGGAAUAUAUCCAUUGUUAUACAUGUGUUUUGUAUAAAAAUCUCAACUCCCUUACAUAUUUCAGAACAAGUGAGUUUCUCCCCACUUCCCGUUGAGACAUUAAAGGGUACAAUCAAUUCAAUAGUCAAUUUUAGAGAUCUGGCCACUUCUUUUUGCAUAAAAUUAUGGGUAGAACCUGUGUCUACAAGAACACUUACUGAAUUGUUUGAAAUUACUCCCUUCAAUCUUAUUGUAUUUGAGCUAAUAUGACCUUCAAAAGCAUGGAGUGAAAUUUCUGUUUGUGUUCCUCCCACCAAAGUGGAUAUCUCCUCUACCUUUGCUUCCACUUCCUCUUGUUCUUCUAUUUCCUCCAGAAAAUUCAGAUCAGCUGAAAGUCGAAAUAAUUUGCCCUGCCUGCCUUUACAUACCUGAUUAUGAUUAGGCACAAACUUCUCUUCGCAAUUAAAACACAGACCCUUGCUUCUUUUUUCUGCCUUUUCAGCUUGAGAUAAUUUUUUAAAUACAUUCGUGUCUUCCUUAGCAGCCAAUGGAGCUUUUAAAACACUUGCCGAAUAAGUUUUAUUAGCCUGUGAAAGAGAAGAUGUAUACUUGGUACUAAAUGGCUUGUAGACUGAUGUUUUAUGCCCCCCUCUCUUUGCAUCAAGCAUAUUAGAUAUUUCCAUUGCUUCAUGUAUAGUUGCUGGCUUGCUUAAUACAACGUCAUCUUGUAAUUCUUCUUUUAAUCCAGAAAUAUACAUUUCUAGGAUGAAAUAUUCCGGCAAACCCAACACUCUUGUACACAUUUCUUCGAAUUUACUUUGAUAUUCAAUCAGGCUUCCUUCUUGUUUAAGUUUGCUUAGUUUGCCCCCGGGAAGUUGGUAGUGGAGUGUUGUGAAUUUCCUGAUUACAGAAUCUACAAAAUUCACCCAAUUUGUUAACAUGUUGCUUGCUUCCAUCCAUGCGAACCACUUCUUAGCCAGCCCAUCUAAGUGAAAGGAAACAAUCAAUAGCUUCUGGUCCUCAGGGAUUUUAUUAAAAAUAAAAUACCGCCGCACUGCAAAUAUCCAAUGCUCUGCCUCUGUCCCGUCAAACCUUGGCAUAUUCACUUUUACAUGCUUUGCUAGAACAUAAUUAGGGUCAUUCAGAAUGUUUAGGGCGUAACAGGGAUUAUCAAGGUUCACCACUGAUUUGUAAUAUUUCCCUGGUUGCUCAGUCAUUACUAACUUUUCUUCUAGAGUCUCCUGAUUGUUUUGAUCUGGAGGCUUGUUUUUAAGAUUAUUUUCGCAUAGAUCUGAAAUUUGUUUGCUUAACUGCAGGAAAUUAUUGUUGACAUUAGCUCUAAACUCUCCCAUCUCCUGGAUCUGAGACAUCUGAAGACUUUGUAGGCGAACAAAAUCCGGGUGAGUUGCUAAAUCAAAGUUUUGAUUAUUUGAAACCAUCCUGAUUGAAAAGAGGGUUCAGGAAAUAUGAAAGCACCAAAUGACACAAUCCUAAAUCCACAGAUUAACUCAAUCAAAGUUUGAGGGACCUGAGGAUAGAGGAUGCUCCGGAUCUGAAUGUCUAACGACGAUCCAGAUAUCCAAAGCAGUUCACGGCGGGGUCAACCCCUGAUAUCGAGUCUAAGCUCUGGAAGAAUGUAUGCGGUUAGGCUAUUCGCGCGAGGGCUCGAUUCGGCAGUGGAUGCUAGAUCCAGAACAAGGCAGACGGCGGCGAGAUUUUCCGGCGAAGAUCGUGACGGCGGGAUGAAGCAGAUUGAUGUAGUCGUAGGGAAAUGAAUAUGGAAAUUUUGUAAUUUUAAUUUUGAUACCUAAAAAUAGAGUUGUUUACAGCUAUUUAACUUGAGUUCAAAUUGAAAAUAUAAAAUAAGCUAGGGACUACUAAUUAAAUUUCUCUUCUAAAUUGACUCAGCCACUUGUAUUGGACCCAAUUAUGUAAUCACUCAUCCAAGCUGGUGACUUAGUGCGUCUGCUCGGUCUGGGGCCGUUGUUUGAACCGGCUGGUUCUUCCCCUAACGUUCUUGGGUCGUCUUCCCCCUUUCCGGCUGGAAUUAGGUCGUCGUCUUCCUCUGCUUCCGUAUGUCUGUAUAAGUCGACGAUGGCCUGGACAUCUUCUUUAACGGCGAGAUACCCCAGCGGCUUCGUAUCAGGGUUUUGGUACAAUAUAUAUGUAUUGCAUGCUUAUAUGCUACGAAAUGAGGACAUCCCUAGGACAAUGCCGAAUUGGGCAUUUAAUCAUGAUAACGUUGAUGACACAAUUGGAUUAUUCUCUAAUGGAAGGGUUUUGUAUCCUCAAUCCUAGAAUUCCCUUGACUGACCUUUCGAUCAGGGUAGUUUUGUAUAAGUAUACGUGCAUGUAUACUUAAUCCCCUCCAAGAAAAGUCUUCAUUUAAAGGUUUCAAAUCGUUGGAGAAGUCUUUGAAGAAGAUUUUAUUGGAUAUCCAGAUUAAUGGUGGUUGCAAUAUGUGGUUCCAUCAGCGAAUACCCACUUUUUAUCCCAGAAGGGAAUGCUCAUGGUCCAUGAUUUAUACAUUCGCAACUUCCCGGUUCUGCCUAUACCAAAAUUAAUGAGUGAAGUGAUAAUGUACUGAUAUUUUUGUAUCCACGAGUUGUUGCACGCCUUCGUGGUUUUCAAAACCUAUUGUUGGACCUGGGAGUUAUGCUCACUACCUGUCUUUUCAAUUCUAUCACUUUUUUAUUAUUUUUACUACGAGUAAAGGUGGUUCACAUACUUGUAUUGCAAAAUGUGACGAAGAACCUCUGUUUUCGCAUCUCCCAUUGAAAUAUAAAAACGGAGAAAUAUAUGUCUUCACGGCUUCUUUCCGGAAAGUCUACGCCGUGUUCAGAAAAAUAAAACUUUGCGCCCCCACAUAUGUGUUGACAAAGGAGAAACUUGAACCUUGUAUGACAAGUACCCGAACUUGAUUCCUCUGAUAUUGAGUGUAUGUCUUAUUAGUUAUCAUCCACUUUUAUUUUUUAGAGAUUCAACGAACCUAUUUCUUCUAUAUAGAAACAGACUACUGAUGGUAAUGGUGUGAAUCUGAAACCUCCACUCCCUAUGACAUGACGCGAGAAGUAAAAAAAUGUAUGCCUAAUAGUGACAUGGGCAUAACAUCUCCAAAUCCUGUUAAGAGAUAUCUUCCUACGAAAAGGAAUAUCACGCAAGAGCUACACUAGGCCCAAACGAAGAAGCCAAAACCAGGUAAGCCUCUUGUUGACACAGGAAUGUACACCAUCCCUUUCUGUCAACAAGGACUAGAGUUUCGAAACUAAAAGUCUUUGUCGAGACCCAAGUCAACUAUCCAAAUCGUCGAUUUGAUCUGCCAAAAAUCACCGAUUGGGGCGGAAAAUCGCCGAGUUGAGGAGAAGAUCGUCAGAGUCUGGUAGACUGUCAAUCUUCCCCUUUGAACUCGUCGAUUUUACCCUCAAAUCAUCAAUUUCAAAGCGUUACUCCCGUCCAGCCGAGCCAUAAUGGUUGUAACGGCUGCCAUUAUGGUCGGACGCGAUCUUCGCCAUAGAUUAUGCUCAAGCUUUAAAAACCGACGUUUAACCGGUUGACCGGUAAAAAAUUCAAAACCGCUAGCCGGUUAGUUUGAGCGGGUUUGUGGGUCAGCGGGUCGGGUCUGACCCGUACCCGACCCAAAUACCCGACCGAUUUUUUAAAACCAAAAAAUUAUUUUUAUGCCAAAAAUUUAUACAUUGGUCCAUGAAAAAAAUUAUAUUAUUUUUAAUAAAAAUUUCUCCCACUCUUAAGACUUCACAUUUGUUUUAGACAAAAUGAAUCUUUAUUUAUUGACCAACUUUCUUUGUGUUUUUUAAAUUCUAUCGAUGUGAGAUUAAAAAUUUGUAAUUAAAAAUAUUAUAAAAUAUUCUUUGUACUUUUUAUAAAUGUGUGACUAAAUAAAGUAUACAUGUGUUAUAGAGUAUUUAUUUAACAUGUACACAUUGUUAGAAUUCAAAAAGUACAUGUGUUAAAUAAAAUUAAUAAAUACUCUAUAAUAUAUGUACACUUUAUUUAGUCUCACAUUCAUAAAAAGUACAAAAAAUAUUUUAUAAUUUAUUUAACUACAUUUUUUUAGUCUCACAUCGAUAGAAUUCAAAACACACAAAGAAGGUUGAUCUAUAAAUAAAGAUUCAUUUUAUCUAAAACAAAUAUGAAGUCUUAAGAGUUGGAAGAACUUUUAUUAAAAAUAAUAUAACUCUUUUCAUGAACCAAUGUAUAAAUUUUUGGCAUAAAAAUAUAUUUUUGGCCUUAGUGAAUUUAUGAAGAAAAAAAAUUAUGAAAAUACCUCUACCGGUUAACCGGCCUAACCGGAAAACCGGUCAGCCAGAACCGGUUAUCGGUUAACCGAUUUUUAAACCUUGAUUACACCCCCAGAGGUCCUAUAAAAGGGGACAUCGGGCUCAAUCCAAAGGCAUCAGUUCCAUCCUUUCUAAAGCAUGAAUCGUGGAGAAAUCGUCGAUUUGAACACUAAAUCGUCGAUUUCCUCCUGGAAGACUUGACGCACGUUGUGGAUCUCAGAGCCUCCGACACGAGAAAGUAGCUGCUCGUACCACCACGAGCGCUGGUAGGAUAUUACGUUCCUUAUCACCUCCCCACACACAGAGAUGUCGUGUCUUAGGAGAUUCAUCAAGGUAACAACCUCCCUCAACUUCGAUAUGACGAUGCCAAGGAAAGGGAUGAUCAAGGCCGAUAUCUUCAAAAGUGCUUUUUGGUUGUGUGAAAUUGAGUCUCUCUAAUUGGAAGCUCUGGAAAUCACAAAAGGCACACUACGUCAAAUGUUCGAAGGAGAAAUCGGCGAUUACUCUGUGUAUUGUUCAAGGAUGGUGAGAAUUGAUGCCUUCGAGGUCCCUAUUUAUAGGGGCUCGAGAGGUAUGUAUAAUUCGGGGUGGAGAUCGCAUAUGGUUAUUGAUCAGACCAGGCUAUGCUCGAGAAUCUUCUAGAAGUCGACGAGUUUCCUUAGGAAAUCGGCGAGUAGAUGGGAAAGGCUAUUGUAGGUGAUUUCCCUAUUGAAUAUGACGCUUUCCUCUUUUAGUUAAUUGGUGACUUCUUCAUGGGAGUCGAAAAUAUCUGUAGAAGGAAUCUCGGGCCUUGUUUUACAUCCCUUGAGAUCUUCUAGAGUUUCGAUGUAAAGUAAACGGAACCCUAAUUCAUGUUGAUGGUAAGGACAAGUAUACGAUCUUGUAUCAUCGGUAUCCCUGUAAAAAUAGGCAAUGAGUCUUUGAUGGGACACGUUCCAUUAAAGAGCAUGUCCAUGAGGAUAUAAUUGUCGAAUGGUAUACCUUCACUCGCCCGUCGUAUCGAGUGCCCAUUGAAAUCAGGGAUACUCAGGGUUUUGUGACAACCUUUGAUUAUAAGAAUAUCCAUAACCCUACCUUUUCGAGAUAUCCUUACGCACGACCCUAACCCCACCUCCCCCAUGAUAUGAUAGAGAGAACAAGGGACGGUUCCCCAUCAGAAAGGUUCCCAACAUGACGAUGGUUGGUGAUUUGGUGGUGUACAUCCUAAAGAUAACUAACAUUGUAAGUUCACCUAGUCAUUUACCUUUUCUAAAUAUUUCUACUAAUACUAAUCCUUUUUGUGUAAAUAUCCUAUUUGGUGCAGAAGUUGCAUCUACUGAAGACGAUUACCCACCCUGGGAAGUUAUUUCAGCAGAACAAAUUAAAUCUCUAAUUAGAGAAGACCGCCGGAAUCAAAUGUUUGAUGUUUUGUCAAAAAAUAUUGCCAUGGAGUUUUAAUUUAGUAUGUCUAAAUACCAGACUUUCACCAUUAAAAAUCUACAAUACGACUUGAAGCUUUUCGGCGAACCAACACUGAGUUGGUCGAGGCAAUUUCUGCAAAGGAUAAGGAAGUCGAGAUUGAUAAAGAAAAGGUUUAUGCAUUCUACUAUAAAGGAAGAUCUAAUGUUAAAGGGAAAGAAGAUCCUUGAUCUCGAGACAAAUGUUCAAGCCAUGAAAUCUAAAGUCGGUAUCCUUCAAACGCGGGCAUGGAUUCAAAGCUAAAGGAUCUGAAGUCUCAGAAGUUGGAUCUCAACUAGGUGGCCCUUAUAAUCGAACAGAAAAUAACAUUAAUGGUGGAAAAAUAUGAACGACAGGUGGCGGAGCGGUAAGUGUUUGUUGGACGAGCAUGUGGAAGCUUUCACUAAUUUUGACAAACUAUGCUUUAAAUAUAAGGCCCCUAGUGAGGUUUCGAAGAAAAAAUGAGGCUUUGCAUGUAGCCUUAUAUUUUGGUGUUUGUAUUUUAUUUUUGAAAACAUUUGGGUCAUGUUGAAAAAACUCAUGUUGACCACCUUGCCGAAAUCUACGGAGUUGGUAAGGAUCCUGGAGAUCUGUUCAACCUCGAAAUGCGUGUAUUAUUAUCAGUUGUUAAGAGUUAAUACGUAUUUGAUUAAUUGGGAUUCUUUGGCUGUAAUGUCCUUUGUGGCAUGUCGUGCUACAAGCUGUGAAUCGGUCAACUUGACCGUGACUGCUCCCAACAUUUUUACUAUCUUGAGACUGUGGAUUUCUGCUUCAUACUCACCCAGAUUAUUUUUCGAUACUACAAACUGUAAGUGUAUCGAGUUUCGUGAAUUCUUUAGUCAGGAGCGAUGAUCUUGAUCUCAAUGCCAACACCUAUGCUAUAGCUUGAUCUAACCCUUGUCUACUUGCGUAAACUCAACUAUGAAGUCAGUUAUCGCCUAUAUAUAACUUGAUUAUUGUUGUCGGUGUGUAAUCUAUCUUAUAUUCAUUAAGCUCUAUAGCUCAUCCAGUCAGUCUCUCAAAUAUUUUUUGCUUGUGGAGAUAUCGUUUCAAAGAAAGAUGCUCUAACAAGGCUCGGGUUCGAGACAAUUCCUUAACGAACCGAGUCCGAUUCUAUAAGCAAAUUAAAAAACUUGGUUCGACUCGACUCGACUGACACACUAAAGGAUAAUGAAAUAAACAAAGAAGCUGAAGAAAGUAGUGAAAAAUAUAUAAUGAGAUCACCUAAUUAUGUAUAUUUGAACUCACCCGUUAUGCCAUCAGAAACGCAAAUAUCUACAAAUUAAGAGAAGUUGCAGACGAACGAACGAAUGAAUGAAAGGGGAACUAAAACACUAACAUCGACAUAUGCAUAACUUACAUGUUGAUUGCAGCCAAACUAAACAACUCCGAGCAAUACAAAUCUGAGAACUCCAGACCAAGAAAUAGCUUUAAAACACAUGGUAUCAGUGGUUGCCAAAUUAAUUUGCCAUUGGUACUACAUGGUAACAUGGUAGGUGCCAAUAAUUGAGUAAGCCUUGGAUUAAUGCAUCCCUCAAUUUGGUAGGUGGCAGUGAAGGAUGCUGCCCCUCAAUUUGGACUUUUUCUUAAAGUAAGUGUGAAACCGGACGGGUUUGACAAAAGACGGUCU
This 10825-nucleotide long non-coding RNA is filed under the name Zostera marina. RNAcentral's name for it is "long non-coding RNA (ZMAR_LNC006187)". The record is from RNAcentral. Lineage: Eukaryota; Viridiplantae; Streptophyta; Magnoliopsida; Alismatales; Zosteraceae.